GAUGAACGCUGGCGGCGUGCCUAAUACAUGCAAGUCGAGCGAACAGACGAGGAGCUUGCUCCUCUGACGUUAGCGGCGGACGGGUGAGUAACACGUGUAUAACCUACCUAUAAGACUGGGAUAACUUCGGGAAACCGGAGCUAAUACCGGAUAAUAUAUUGAACCGCAUGGUUCAAUAGUGAAAGACGGUUUUGCUGUCACUUAUAGCUGGAUCCACGCCGCAUUAGCUAGUUGGUAAGGUAACGGCUUACCAAGGCAACGAUGCGUAGCCGACCUGAGAGGGUGAUCGGCCACACUGGAACUGAGACACGGUCCAGACUCCUACGGGAGGCAGCAGUAGGGAAUCUUCCGCAAUGGGCGAAAGCCUGACGGAGCAACGCCGCGUGAGUGAUGAAGGUCUUCGGAUCGUAAAACUCUGUUAUUAGGGAAGAACAAAUGUGUAAGUAACUAUGCACGUCUUGACGGUACCUAAUCAGAAAGCAACGGCUAACUACGUG
Molecule: ribosomal RNA, 497 nt
Filed under: uncultured bacterium
Lineage: Bacteria
Description: partial 16S ribosomal RNA
Rfam family: Bacterial small subunit ribosomal RNA
Source: RNAcentral